Molecule: long non-coding RNA, 1766 nt
Organism: Apodemus sylvaticus (European woodmouse)
Lineage: Eukaryota; Metazoa; Chordata; Mammalia; Rodentia; Muridae
Exons: 3
Source: RefSeq, a predicted model, not a curated record
UAGUUUGGGUUGUAACCACUACCAAACUGAUGUAGGUAUAAAUUAUGUUACUUUUUUUUUUUAUGGAGAAGGAUUCAUGGAAGUCAAAGUGCCAAGGACCAGCAAGAGUCUCCAUGCAUUUCCUGCGUGCCUUGUUUGCCUCUGGUGAUGAGGGCCUCACCUCCUGUCAGUUUUGCCUUGGAUCCCACCCAUCAUUUUUUUUCCCCCCAAGAGUUUCUGAGGUCAUCAAAAUGUUGAUUGUUGGGCCAGCAAGAUGUCUCAGGGAAAGCACAUCCACAUAAGCAAGUCCAGUGACUUCAGUUCAAUCCCCAGAACCCACUGUGGAAAGGAAGAACUGACUCCUGAAGAUUGUCUUCUGGCUUCCGUGGGACCAGGUUGUUAGGAGGAUGCUGUCAAGAUACAGUAAGAAGCCUCUGCUUGGAGAAGAUGCAGGAGAUGGAGAAAUGAGUCCAUAAUAAUACAAACCAAGAAUCUGGAAAAUGAUUUUACCAGAAGUCACACUUGUGUGGAUGAAGAAGUUAGAUAAGUUUCUAAGUAAAGGAAACAGAGCACUUCUCUCUGUGUACACUGAGGACUGUCUGUGGAAGCCAGCUGCCACAAGGCACACCACGCCCUUUCCACCAGAAACCAAGACUUCGAGGACCCAAGCCUGCCUGUUUUGUCAAUAUCUUUGGAGGUCAAAGGAAACAGUUUAAUAGCCAAGAGGACUGGAAAGUUUGACCAAAAAGAAACAGGUUUAAAUAUAUUUCACCAAGCAAUAUUGUCUCCCAAACAUUAUUUCUCUUUCAAUUUCAAGCACAUUGUCAUGGGGCAUAGUGACUCAAGAAAAGGGCUGUUAAUGUGAAGUCAAGUCAGAUGCCUUUGUCAUUUCCCACUCUCUGUUUAUUUAAAAGAUAGCUUUGAGCCUAGGAGAUGGCUCCAUGGCUAAGAGUACUUGCCGUACAAAUAGGAAAACCCGAGUUCAAAUCCCACUCAUAUGACAAACUAAGUGUGGUGGUGUAAACCACUUGGGGCUGGAUAUAGGACUCACUAGGGCUUUCCGGCUGCCAGUGAGAGACUCCAUCUUAAGGAACAUGGUAUACAGAAAGAUACCUUGAGUUUUUUAGCCUUUGCACAAGUUCAAGAGGGAGUAUGCACACACACACACACACACACACACACACACACACACACACAUCAAGCACAUCCGUGUACAAACCACAGGAAAAAGACACCCUUAUUGACAUGUAGGUCAGAUACUGAUAUUAGGACACACCCAUUUGAAAGAUGUAAUUCUGUGGUUCAUUAAGACAUUUACAGGAUUGAGAACCAUGGCCUCUGUACCAGUCUGGAGCAAUCUUAUUAUUCUUACUGAAAUCUCCCUCUCUAUGGGCUGUCGCUUCCUUGGCAUCCACCAAUCAACUUUUUUUUCCCUCUGUGGCAGAGAAAUGAAAUCACACACAUCAUUCUGUGGCUGGCCUCUCUCUACUGUGUGACUUCUUUGAGACUUAACCCAGGGCUUUAUUCUUUCUUAGGGUUAAUAGUAUUCCACUCUCUUAAUGUCCUCCAUUACUUUCGGGCAUUUGAACCCUCGGUCUCCAGGUAGUGAUGUUCUUUGGGGGAGGUUUAGAAAGUGUGGCUUUGCUGGAGGAAGUGUUGUCAUAGGGGCGAGCUUUAAGAGUUUAAAACUUCAAGUCACUUCCAGUUAACUCUCUGCUUUAUCUCUGCAGUUGAAGCUGUUAGCUCUCAGCUACCAGUUCCAGCCACCAUGCCCACUGCUUUCUGCC